Molecule: ribosomal RNA, 370 nt
Filed under: uncultured bacterium
Lineage: Bacteria
Description: bacterial SSU rRNA
Rfam family: Bacterial small subunit ribosomal RNA
Source: RNAcentral
AUUGAACGCUGGCGGCAUGCCUAACACAUGCAAGUCGAACGGGGUGUAGCAAUACAUCUAGUGGCGGACGGGUGAGGAAUACAUAGGAAUUUACCCUUAAGUGGGGGAUAGUCCGGGGAAACUCGGUUUAAUACCGCAUGAUCUCGUGAGAGCAAAGCAGGGGACCGCAAGGCCUUGCGCUUUUGGAGAAGCCUAUGUCGGAUUAGCUAGUUGGUAGGGUAAUGGCCUACCAAGGCGACGAUCCGUAACUGGUCUGAGAGGAUGAUCAGUCACACCGGAACUGAGACACGGUCCGGACUCCUACGGGAGGCAGCAGUGGGGAAUAGUUGGACAAUGGGCGCAAGCCUGAUCCAGCAAUGCCGCGUGUGUA